Molecule: long non-coding RNA, 1509 nt
Filed under: Ananas comosus (pineapple)
Lineage: Eukaryota; Viridiplantae; Streptophyta; Magnoliopsida; Poales; Bromeliaceae
Description: long non-coding RNA (ACOM_LNC021444)
Source: RNAcentral
GGGGAAGCAGCAGCAAUCUGUAACGCACUAGCGACCCGCCCUGACAGCGAGUUUGUAAGGAUGAGGAGGCUCGAGAGGCUUGCGAGCUGCUCACUGCUCGAGAGGCUUGCGAGCUGCGAGCUGCGAGCUGCUGGCUGCUCGAGAGGCUUGCGAGCUGCGAGCUGCUGGCUGCUCGAGAGGCUUGCGAGCUUCGAGCUGCUGGCUGCUCGAGAGGCUUGCGAGCUCCAAGCUGCUGGCUGCUCAAAGGGGAGGAGAGUUGAAGGGAGAAAUCGACAAAAUGGAGCCCUAGCUUUUGACUGGGGAGUCGGGUAGCUCACCUAACAGGGCUCCGAGCUGCAGGCUACUCAAAGGGGGGGAGAGUUGAAGGGAGAAAUAGACAAAACGAGCCCUAGCUUUUUUGACUGGGGAGUCGGGUAGCGCACAUUUUAUUUAAAAAUAAUUUAAACUUUAAAUUUAAAUUUCAAUUAAGAUUAAAAUUUUUAAAUUUCGAAAGGUACAAAAUAUACAAUAUGAUAUUUUAAUUUAAAGCAUAAUGUAAAAAUUAAAAAGUAUAAAAUUUAUAUUUAAAAUUUAAAAUAAUUAUGAAAUAUCAAAAAAAUUAAAUAUUACAUAUUAUAAAUAUAAAUAUAAAUUUUGAAAUGUAAAUAAUUAUGGAAAGAGAAAUAUAUAAUUAUAAUAUUUAUAUUUAUAAUUUAAAAAUUUAAAUUUCAAAGUUUAAAUAAAAAAAAUUUAAUUUAUAUAUUAAAAAUGUAAAUGCUAAAAAUUAACAUUUAAAUUUUAAUAUAUGUCCAAUUUUGUAAUUUAACAUUUAAAUUUUGAAAAGCUUUCCCUACCCUAUAAACGUGGCUUGUACGGCUUAGUAUAGAAAAUUGCACAUCUAGUAUAGAAAAGUGUGCACUAUAGAAGUGUUCCCUUUAACACUACAAAUGUACCAUGUAUAGAAGUGUUCCCUUUAACACUCAAAUGUACCUGAAAUAGAAGUGUUCCCUUUAACACUACAAAUGUACCUGAAAGUAGCUAGAGCACUACAGGUCUUAGCCUACCAUAUUUAACUGGACAUAUAGAUGUGGCAGGUAUAUCGGUGUCCCAUUUAAGACUACAUAUGUGAAAAAUAAAAUCUUCACUAUAAAAGUGGUCAUAUCACUAUUAGAUAUAGGGGUGUGUCAUAUACCAUUCUAGAUGCACCACGAUAAAGUUAUAGAUAGACCCUUUUCGGGCUAACACUUACUUAGCACCGUCAGAUAUAUGGGUGUUCCAACCAAGACUUAAAGUGUACCGAAUAGCCUUAUAAGUAUUCCGUUUCUGGCUAUAAUGUGAAAAAUCAAGUCUUCACUAUAAAAGUGGUCAUAUCACUAUUAGAUAUAGGGGUGUGCCAUACAUCACUCUACAUGCACCUCAGUAAAGCUAUAGUUAGAGCUUUUAUUUUGAGAGUUACUUAACACUGUCAUAUAUAUGGGUGUUCCAACCAAGGGGAUAGCUGUAUCCAACUGCAGUAUAAGUGUUCCAUUU